Pyrus x bretschneideri (Chinese white pear) is the source of this 792-nucleotide long non-coding RNA. RefSeq lists it as uncharacterized. NCBI's taxonomy places the organism in Eukaryota, Viridiplantae, Streptophyta, Magnoliopsida, Rosales, Rosaceae. The transcript has 2 exons. The record is from RefSeq and is a predicted model, not a curated record.
UAUAAAUAACACUGAUAUUGCUGCCGUCAAGGCUCAGAGUGCGCCGUACCUCGUAUAGAGCAGUAGGGUUUCUUUUUAUUUUUUGAUCAUCCUUGUUCUCAAAUGUUUAGAACAGAUGGUGGGUAUUCCAAGUACCCUUCAGUUCCUGGAAAAGAAGAAAGUCAAAUGCAAACCCUAAUUUCCCUUUCAGAUCACGACGCUUGACGUUGAAUCGAAUCCAUGAUUUACCAGAAAGAGAUCCCUUGUGUUUGUACUCGUCGAGAAUGAUAUUGCAACUAUUCAUUCUGCGUGCAUCAAGGAGACCGUGAUUCCAAAGUUUGAUCAUGCAGUGAAUGGUUUGAUGAGGGGAGGAGGGACCUCGAGUUCAAGCGAGGAUCUGCAUGUGUUUGAAGGAGGAGUGGUGGGGCUGCUACCAUUUACGCCUUCGAAGAGGCCGUAGCGGAGGAAGUUUACGGUGGAGCAGAAAGAGAGGAUGAGGGUGGAGGAUUCAGAAGCUGGCUGAGAAAAAAGUGGAGUGAUUUGGGCGGAGGUUUGGAAUUAAGAAGCAGGAGCUUGGCUAGGGUUUGGAUGCACAACAAGAGGUGAUAUUUGCGAAUGUGGAGGGAGAAGGAGCUGAUCAAGAUUAAGGGUAGUGACAAAGAGUUAAGAGGGUUAAUUAAGUGAGAUUUGUAAAAGUUCAUAAUGUGUAAUACCCUUUUAAUUAUGAAUAGUUUGAAAUUAUCGAAUCAAUGAUUUACCAAAUGGUUGUAACUUUUCAAUUAUGUAAUAAUAUAUCAGUUUUUUAUUUGGAAC